Molecule: non-coding RNA, 80 nt
Organism: Lasiosphaeria ovina
Lineage: Eukaryota; Fungi; Ascomycota; Sordariomycetes; Sordariales; Lasiosphaeriaceae
Source: the annotation of a GenBank genome assembly
UCUUCCGUAGUACAGUGGUCAGUAUAUGAGCUUGUCAUUCGAUUUCGCUCGGGACCCGGGUUCAAUUCCCGGCGGGAGAG